GAGGGCUCCGCGCAUGCAGGAAGACCACCCUAAGGGAAGAAUCAUGGGAAAGAGGCAGAAAAUUAAAACUGGAUUGCUACCUGGUGCUUCCAUACACUGAAAAGAAAGAACACUCCAAUCUGCCAGCCUUACGAUGUUGGGAAAACGCAUCAAACAGUGCUAAGGUUUUAAGCAUGGAGAAUAUAAUCCAGUUGUAAAGCUAUUAACCCAGAAAAGAUGUCACAUGAAAGUCUGUAAAUAUGAACCACACUCUACUGCCCAGUGAUGGAGAAACCUACUGACUGUGGUGCGCAGAUUCCUAAGACGCCCUCAUGGUAUCCAUGUCCGCAUCAUCUCCUCCCCCUUGAGAGUGGGCUGAACCUGUGACUGGCCUCUAACCAACAGGCUAUCGUGAAGCAGCAAGCCUCCAUCAGUUCUGCAGCUACAAGAAAAUGAGUUCUGCCAACAACCAAGUGAGCACUGAAGAGGACCCUGAGCAUCAGAGGACAGCCUAGCCCUGGCCAAUGCCUUCAUUGCAGCACUGUGAGACCCGAACAAAAGAUCCAGCUAAUGCAUGUUCAGAAUUCUGAUUCCAGGAAACUGUGGAAUAAUAAAUGCUCCUAUGUUAAGCUGCUAAGUGUGUGGUAAUGUUUUUACUCAGCAAUAGAAAACUACUGCUGGAU
RNAcentral lists this long non-coding RNA (662 nucleotides) under Homo sapiens (human). RNAcentral describes it as "HSALNT0325310". Lineage: Eukaryota; Metazoa; Chordata; Mammalia; Primates; Hominidae. The record is from RNAcentral.